This 305-nucleotide ribosomal RNA is filed under the name uncultured bacterium. RNAcentral's name for it is "bacterial SSU rRNA". It matches the Rfam family "Bacterial small subunit ribosomal RNA", at positions 333 to 655 of the family's 1533-position model. The record is from RNAcentral.
CGUGGCCUACGGGACGCAGCAGUGGGGGAUAUCGCACAAUGGGGGGAACCCUGAUGCAGCGACGCCGCGUGGGUGAAGAAGCGCCUCGGCGCGUAAAGCCCUGUCAGCAGGGAAGAAAAUGACGGUACCUGAAGAAGAAGCCCCGGCUAACUACGUGCCAGCAGCCGCGGUAAUACGUAGGGGGCAAGCGUUAUCCGGAUUUACUGGGUGUAAAGGGGGCGCAGACGGCGAUGCAAGCCAGGAGUGAAAGCCCGGGGCCCAUCCCCGGGCCUGCUCUUGGAACUGCGUGGCUGGAGUGCAGGGGG